RNAcentral lists this ribosomal RNA (502 nucleotides) under uncultured bacterium. RNAcentral describes it as "bacterial SSU rRNA". It matches the Rfam family "Bacterial small subunit ribosomal RNA", at positions 29 to 523 of the family's 1533-position model. The record is from RNAcentral.
AUUGAACGCUGGCGGCGUGCCUAACACAUGCAAGUCGAGCGGUAACAGGUGUAGCAAUACAUGCUGACGAGCGGCGGACGGGUGAGUAACGCUUGGGAAUCUGCCUAUUAGUGGGGGACAACCCGGGGAAACUCGGGCUAAUACCGCAUACGCACUACGGUGGAAAGCCGGGGACCGCAAGGCCUGGCGCUAACAGAUGAGCCCAAGUCGGAUUAGCUAGUUGGUAGGGUAACGGCCUACCAAGGCGACGAUCCGUAACUGGUCUGAGAGGACGACCAGUCACACCGGAACUGAGACACGGUCCGGACUCCUACGGGAGGCAGCGAGUGGGGAAUAUUGGACAAUGGGCGAAAGCCUGAUCCAGCGACGCCGCGUGGGUGAAGAAGGCCUGCGGGUUGUAAAGCCCUUUCAGUGGGGAAGAAAGCCUCGAGCUAAUAUCUCGGGGUCUUGACGUAACCCAUAGAAGAAGCACCGGCUAACUCUGUGCCAGCCGCCGCGGUAA